AUAACGGAGGAGGUGGGACGACGUCAAGUCAUCACCGGCCCUUUAUGCCUGGGGCGACACACGUGCUACAAUGGCCGGUACAAAGAGCUGCAAAGCCGCGAGGCAGAGCUAAUCUCAAAAAGCCGGUCUCAGUUCGGAUUGGAGUCUGCAACUCGACUACAUGAAGUCGGAAUCGCUAGUAAUCGCGAAUCAGAAUGUCGCGGUGAAUACGUUCUCGAGUCUU
Molecule: ribosomal RNA, 223 nt
Filed under: uncultured Candidatus Sumerlaeota bacterium
Lineage: Bacteria; Candidatus Sumerlaeota
Description: partial 16S ribosomal RNA
Rfam family: Bacterial small subunit ribosomal RNA
Source: RNAcentral